UAAUUUUGUUGCUAAAAGUCCCUUCUUUGAUCUUUCAAUUCAUUCAAAAAAAUGAUUUCUUCACAAUCCAAUUACUUUCUUUCAAGAAGAAAUCAUCCUUCAAUGUUUGAGAUAAUUUUUUCUAUGAACCUCAAAAAUAUCUUAUAAUAGACUUUACAUGAUUUUUUAUCUCUGGUGUAGAAGUCAAUUCAAAUAAAUGAACCAUCUCCCUUUCUAGAACACUCUUCAACUUUAUUUCUUUUAUAUAUCACCUUAAAUAUUUUGUAAUUUCUUUUCCUUAAAAUUGAUCAAUCUUAUCUACAAUCACUUGUAAUGUUUUAUUUGUUAUAUCCUAUUUGCGUUCUUUAACUUAUUGAUGUUACAUGAAUAAGAUAAAAGUCUCAAACAUGCUUGUGGAAUUGGGAUCAAAAUACAUAUCUUAUCUUCCACUUGUAACUCUAGUCAAAGCACCAUCUAUAGCCCCUCCUUUAACUCUCUUGCCUUCAUUCUCCUUAAUUCAAAUAAUCCAAGAAAAUUUUUCAAAUACCUUCCACCUCAAGCUUUUCACGUCGGAUUCACCAAAUCUAUUGUAUUACAUGAAGUCUUGCUUGAGAGUGCAUCAAGCACCUAACUAUGGAAGGUAAAAUAAAAAUUAUAAUAAUAAAAUAUUAAUUCUAAUAUAAUACUAAAUAAAAUCUAAUUAAAUAUUAAUAAUAUUAAAUAAGCUUUAAUCAAAUUCAAAAGAAACUUUAAAGAAAUUAUAAAAGAAACAAUAAGAAAUCUUAAAGAAGUUGAAAGAUAAUCCACAAAAAAUCUUAAAAGAAUCCUUAAAAAGCUUUAAAAAAUUACAAUAUAUCUUAAAUAAAUCUCAACUAAUUUUUAAUUUAAUCCUAGUUAAAAUCCUAAUAGACUUCAAUCAAAUCCUAGACAAAUCUUAAAUUCUAUACUAAAUCCUAGAAAAACCUUAGAUAAAGCCUAAAUCAUAAAUCAAACUUUAAUCAAAUCCUAAAUCCUAAACCAAAUCCUAAAUUCUAAAAAAAAUCCUAAAUCUUAAACUAAAUCCUAAUAAAACCCUAAAUCCUAAGUCAAACCCAAAUCAAACCUUAAAUCCUAAAUCAAAUCCUAAACCAAAUCCUAAUCAGAUCUUAAGAUAGUUUAUAAUCUUAAUAUCUUUUGAUUAAAUUAUUGAUCUUAUUUACAAAUUUAUACACCUCUCAAUCUCUUAGUUAAAAAUAAGUAUAAUAAAUUUGAAGACAAUUGCACUUACCAAAUGGAAGAAAAAUCCUAAAAUCUACUUGGAUGUUGAUUGGCUUCCUUCUCCAACCUUGAUAUUAAUCUCCCAAUGCUAACAUCUCCCUUUUCCAAUAUUCAAUUAUUUUCAAAAUUCUCAUAUAUGUAGAAAAACAAGUCUAAUAUCUAUACACAACUUUUAUUUCAAUACAAUCAGUAGAUUGCAAGAAAUCUUAGAAAUCCUCAUUGAACCUAAAAUUCUACUUUUUAAGACUCCGACCCACUUAAACCUCAAUAACCCUCAAUUCAACUAUUAAAUCAAGCUAAAAUUUACAACACAUAUUAAGCACAACUAUGACCAUUAAGCUACAAAAUUUCACUUAUAGAUCUACUAAAAGAUUCUUGAAAUUGCUCAAAAUAUCAACUCUAUUUUAUUUUACAAAAUUCCAAGUCAUCUAAAAUAUUUUAGACUUUAUAAAGCUCUUACAAAGUCAUUACAAAUCCAAAUCAUACAAAACUAUUGCUUAUAAAAAUUCUAUCAAGUCUUUUCUCAAAUUCCACUCUUUGAUUUCCAAAAGAACCCCAAAGUUGCCAUAGAUGUAUAGUUUUGUACCUAGGGGUCUGAAUUCGACCUAGAUUGACAACUAAUCCU
This 1861-nucleotide long non-coding RNA is filed under the name Physcomitrium patens. RNAcentral describes it as "long non-coding RNA (PPAT_LNC010892)". The record is from RNAcentral. Lineage: Eukaryota; Viridiplantae; Streptophyta; Bryopsida; Funariales; Funariaceae.